GGUUAAGCGACUAAGCGUACACGGUGGAUGCCCUGGCAGUCAGAGGCGAUGAAGGGCGUGCUAAUCUGCGAUAAGCGCCGGUAAGGUGAUAUGAACCGUUAUAACCGGCGAUACCCGAAUGGGGAAACCCAGUGUGACUCGUCACACUAUCAUUAACUGAAUCCAUAGGUUAAUGAGGCGAACCGGGGGAACUGAAACAUCUAAGUACCCCGAGGAAAAGAAAUCAACCGAGAUUCCCCCAGUAGCGGCGAGCGAACGGGGAGGAGCCCAGAGCCUGAAUCAGCAUGUGUGUUAGUGGAAGCGUCUGGAAAGGCGCGCGAUACAGGGUGACAGCCCCGUACACAAAAGCGCAUGUGCUGUGAGCUCGAUGAGUAGGGCGGGACACGUGGUAUCCUGUCUGAAUAUGGGGGGACCAUCCUCCAAGGCUAAAUACUCCUGACUGACCGAUAGUGAACCAGUACCGUGAGGGAAAGGCGAAAAGAACCCCGGCGAGGGGAGUGAAAAAGAACCUGAAACCGUGUACGUACAAGCAGUGGGAGCACAG
This 544-nucleotide ribosomal RNA is filed under the name Salmonella enterica subsp. enterica serovar Uganda str. R8-3404. RNAcentral's name for it is "LSU rRNA". It matches the Rfam family "Bacterial large subunit ribosomal RNA", at positions 1 to 584 of the family's 2925-position model. The record is from RNAcentral. Lineage: Bacteria; Pseudomonadati; Pseudomonadota; Gammaproteobacteria; Enterobacterales; Enterobacteriaceae.